GGGAUUGUAGCUCAGUGGUAGAGCGCUUGCCUAGCAUGUGUGAGGCCCUGGGUUAGAUUCUCAGCACCA
Molecule: transfer RNA, 69 nt
Filed under: Ictidomys tridecemlineatus (thirteen-lined ground squirrel)
Lineage: Eukaryota; Metazoa; Chordata; Mammalia; Rodentia; Sciuridae
Description: Spermophilus tridecemlineatus (thirteen-lined ground squirrel) tRNA
Rfam family: tRNA
About the family: Transfer RNA (tRNA) molecules are approximately 80 nucleotides in length. Their secondary structure includes four short double-helical elements and three loops (D, anti-codon, and T loops).
Source: Rfam by way of RNAcentral